UGCUUUACCAACAACAACUGCAGGACCAACAACGCCAAAUGCUGAAAAAACAACACCAACUGUAGAACCAACGACUGCAGUGCCAAAAACAACGACUGCAGGACUGACAACGAGAACUGCUGAACCAUCGACAAUUGCUGGACCAAGAGCUUCAACUGCAGGCCCAAUAUCGACAACUGCUUUACCAACAACAACUGCAAGACCAACAGCAACAACAUUAACUACUACCACGGGAUCCACAACAACACCAACUUUAGGAUCAAUAACGACAACUGCUUUACCAAAACCAACUGAUGGACCAGCAACAACAACAACAUUAAAUACUACCGCGGGUUCAACAACAACAACUGUAGGACCAACAACAACCAAUGCAGAACCCACAACGCCAAAUCCUGAACCGACAACAAUUCAUGGAUCUGGAGCUACAACUGCAGGAACCACAACAGCACCUGCAGGAUCAUCGACAACUGCAGUGUCAACAACGACAACUGUAGAUCUCCCUACAGAAAAUAAAGGGACUAUUGAUUUGAGAUUCAGCAUGAGUCGUACGUUUAUAAAAGACUACUUAGAUUCAAGCUCAGCAGCCUAUCAGGUGCUGGCUGCUAAUGUAACAACAGAGGUUAACAAUGGCUUCAAACAUAGUUUUCCUGGAACAUAUUCCGGGAGUACAGUCAACUCUUUUGCUGAGGGAUCAGUCUUUGUGGACAUGACGCUGAUCUUCAACAAAGAAUCUGCUGUUCCUACUGAAAGCCGUGUGGUGCAGGUAUUGAAGGACGCAGUAGAUGAUCUAAUGACCUUCCUCGAUGUGGACACUACAACUAUUGCUGCAGGACCAACUACAACAACUUCAGGACAACCAACCACUGCAGGACCACUAACAACAACUGCAGGACCAUUAACUAUUAUCACGGGACCCACAACAACAACUGCAGGAUCAACAACGCCAACUGCUGAACCAACAACAACUGCUGGUCAAAUAGCUACAACUGCAGGACUGAUAAUAACUGCAGGACCAACAACGCCAACUGCUGAACCAAC
Molecule: long non-coding RNA, 1038 nt
Organism: Gadus macrocephalus (Pacific cod)
Lineage: Eukaryota; Metazoa; Chordata; Actinopteri; Gadiformes; Gadidae
Exons: 4
Source: RefSeq, a predicted model, not a curated record